CUCAGAAAUACACAGGGGCGACAAGCAGACUUUCUACACGCAGCAUGGCUCGCGUAACAGGAUUUUUAAUAAUAAACCAGCGCACAUUAAUUUUCGGUUCAUGCUACAAAGCUUAUAUUUUUUCUUAGCAUAAUAUAAACACACUUUUAAGUAUUUAUAAUCUUUAGUUAUUAUUAAGUAAAAUUAACUGACCACUCUCCAAGUUUGAAAUAUCUAGCAAUGAUUGAAAUAACGGGUUUUGUAAAAGUGUUGUAAAAAAAAUGAAAGAAUCUGUUGCAUCAUAUGACAUGUAUAUAAGCAUCUGUGAGAAAGCCGAAGAUCUUUUAGCGUCUGAAAACUGCUGAAUAUUACAGCGGACAAUAUUCAUUCGUAAAAUAAAAAUUAUUUUUGAUAUCUUCUUAUUCUCAUUUUAAUCAAAUAAAAAUAUAAGAAAAUGAAACAAAAAAGUUUUUUCCCCAAUAUUUGCUCGACUAGUUAAAACUUUAGUAAGUGUAAGGUAUGCCGCGUAAAGGUGGAUUACUAGCUUAUAUCUCAAGUUUUUAUAAUGACAGGUGGAAAUGGGAAUGUAUUAAAAGUGUCUCAUUGUUCCUGCUUGGCGUCUACCUAGCCAGAGAUAUGAAGGGUAUCGUCAUAGCUCCAACCCUACCCGGAGUAUCCUACAGAUAGUUCCAACCCUACCCGGAGUAUCCUACAGAUAGCUCCAACCCUACCCGGAGUAUCCUACAGAUAGAUCAAACCUUAUCUGGAGUAUCCUACAGAUAGCUCAAACCCUACCUGGAGUAUCCUACAGAUAGCUCAAACCCUACUUGGAGAAUCCUACAGAUAGCUCCAACCCUAUCCGGAGUAUCCUACAGAUAGCUAAAACCCUACCUGGAGUAUCCUACAGAUAGCUCAACCACUACUUGGAGUAUCCUACAGAUAGUUCCAACCCUACGUGGUGUAUCCUACAGAUAUUUCCAACCCUACCUGGAGUAUCCUACAGAUAGUUCCAACCCUACGUGGUGUAUCCUACAGAUAGUUCCAACCCUACGUGGUGUAUCCUACAGAUAUUUCCAACCCUACCUGGAGUAUCCUACAGAUAACUCCAACCCUACCUGGAGUAUCCUACAGAUAGCUCCAACCCUACCUGGAGUAUCCUACAGAUAACUCCAACCCUACCUGGAGUAUCCUAAAGAUACCUACAACCCUACAUGGAGUAUCCUACAGAUAACUCAAACACUACCCAGAGUAUAUUAAAUAUAGCUCUAAGUAUGUUACAUUCAAAAAUGUGAAUUUAAAAAAAUGUUCAAUAAAUCGAAAAGCAUAUUC
Eurytemora carolleeae is the source of this 1308-nucleotide long non-coding RNA. RefSeq lists it as uncharacterized. The record is from RefSeq and is a predicted model, not a curated record. NCBI's taxonomy places the organism in Eukaryota, Metazoa, Arthropoda, Copepoda, Calanoida, Temoridae. The transcript is spliced from 2 exons.